AACUCCCUGCUCUGCGGGUCUCGGGCUGCCCCGGGCCCCGCACUGGGGAGGCAGGGGAGAGGCAAGGAGAACUUUCUUUCUCUCCUGAGUGAGUUCUCAUCUCCUCCCACCCCAAGACAGUCAAGAUUUUGGGUGGGAGCAUAGCAACGGCAUUGGGCUUGCUUUUUCUAAAUCUUAAAAGAUUUUGGGCCGAGUGGGGACGUGGCGGCUACCAGAUGCCCACCUGUCGGAGGCCACCAGGCUGCCCUGUCCUGGGGCGACCCCACUCCUCACAGUACCAGGACCUGAGGUCGCUCCCGAGACCAGAGACAGCACAAACAACUCUUCCGGAGAGGCCUUCCCAAGCCUCCGGCUGUGACUCCCAGGAUGGCUCCAGUUCCAGCCCCGCUUCCCACCCCAGCCUCUGAGCCUCCAGCUGUGACUCCCCCAAGAUGGCUCCAGUUCCAGCCCUGCUUCCCACCCCAGCCUCUGAGCCUCCGGCUGUGACUCCCAGGAUGGCUCCAGUUCCAGCCCUGCUUCCCACCCCAGCGUCUGAGCCUGCUUCCUGGACCACAGCUUCCUGCCCCGGCCUGUCUGAAACGCAAGCAUUCCCAGAAGGACCGCAGGUACUUGAAGGAGCUUUUCAGUGAUUCUCAGAAUCACCAGUCUACACUUUGCAAAAACAAAAAUAAAAAUGCCAAGGUCAUGGAAAACAGUGAGAAGAACAGAACAAACACCA
Long non-coding RNA from Mastomys coucha (southern multimammate mouse), 718 nucleotides. RefSeq lists it as uncharacterized. The transcript is spliced from 2 exons. The record is from RefSeq and is a predicted model, not a curated record. Lineage: Eukaryota; Metazoa; Chordata; Mammalia; Rodentia; Muridae.